UCUGGAGCUGCUACAAUUGCUUUAGCCGGAGCUGCUGUCGGUAUUGGAAACGUCCUCAGUUCUUUGAUUCAUUCCGUGGCGCGAAAUCCAUCAUUGGCUAAACAAUCAUUUGGUUAUGCCAUUUUGGUCUUUGCUCUCACAAGCAAAGCGAAGGUUGUUAUUCAAUAG
Molecule: ribosomal RNA, 168 nt
Filed under: Triticum aestivum (bread wheat)
Lineage: Eukaryota; Viridiplantae; Streptophyta; Magnoliopsida; Poales; Poaceae
Description: partial small subunit ribosomal RNA
Source: RNAcentral